AGAGUUUGAUCAUGGCUCAGAACGUACGCUGGCGGCACGCCUAACACAUGCAAGUCGAACGAAGUAGCAAUACUUAGUGGCAGACGGGUGAGUAACAUGUAGGUAUCUACCCUUUGGCCUGGAAUAACACGAGGAAACUUGUGCUAAUACCGGAUAAGUCUUUACGGAGAAAGCUUUAUGCACCAUUGGAUGAGCCUGCACUUGAUUAGUUUGUUGGUGGGGUAAUGGCCUACCAAGACUGUGAUCAAUAGCUGAUUUGAGAGGAUGAUCAGCCACAUUGGGACUGAGACACGGCCCAAACUCCUACGGGAGGCAGCAGUGGGGAAUCUUGCACAAUGGAGGAAACUCUGAUGCAGCGAUGCCGCGUGAGUGAAGAAGGCCCUUGGGUUGUAAAGCUCUUUCGUCGGGGAAGAAAAUGACUGUACCCGAAUAAGAAGGUCCGGCUAACUUCGUGCCAGCAGCCGCGGUAAUACGAAGGGACCUAGCGUAGUUCGGAAUUACUGGGCUUAAAGAGUUCGUAGGUGGUUGAAAAAGUUGGUGGUGAAAUCCCAGAGCUUAACUCUGGAACUGCCAUCAAAACUUUUCAGCUAGAGUAUGAUAGAGGAAAGCAGAAUUUCUAGUGUAGAGGUGAAAUUCGUAGAUAUUAGAAAGAAUACCAAUUGCGAAGGCAGCUUUCUGGAUCAUUACUGACACUGAGGAACGAAAGCAUGGGUAGCGAAGAGGAUUAGAUACCCUCGUAGUCCAUGCCGUAAACGAUGUGUGUUAGACGUUGGAAAUUUAUUUUCAGUGUCGCAGCGAAAGCGAUAAACACACCGCCUGGGGAGUACGACCGCAAGGUUAAAACUCAAAUGAAUUGACGGGGACCCGCACAAGUAGUGGAGCAUGUGGUUUAAUUCGAAGAUACGCGCAGAACCUUACCAACACUUGACAUGUUCGUCGCGACUUUAAGAGAUUAAAGUUUUCGGUUCGGCCGGACGAAACACAGGUGCUGCAUGGCUGUCGUCAGCUCGUGUCGUGAGAUGUUGGGUUAAGUCCCGCAACGAGCGCAACCCUCACUUUUAGUUGCCAUCAUUAAGUUGGGCACUCUGAAAGAACUGCCAGUGAUAAGCUGGAGGAAGGUGGGGAUGACGUCAAGUCCUCAUGGCCCUUACGUGUUGGGCUACACACGUGCUACAAUGGUAUCUACAACAGGAAGCAAGACUGCGAAGUUAAGCAAAUCCUCAAAAGAUACCUCAGUUCGGAUUGCACUCUGCAACUCGAGUGCAUGAAGCUGGAAUUACUAGUAAUCGUGGAUCAGCGUGCCACGGUGAAUGCGUUCCCG
Molecule: ribosomal RNA, 1321 nt
Filed under: uncultured bacterium
Lineage: Bacteria
Description: bacterial SSU rRNA
Rfam family: Bacterial small subunit ribosomal RNA
Source: RNAcentral